RNAcentral lists this ribosomal RNA (460 nucleotides) under uncultured bacterium. Its description in RNAcentral is "partial 16S ribosomal RNA". It matches the Rfam family "Bacterial small subunit ribosomal RNA", at positions 338 to 795 of the family's 1533-position model. The record is from RNAcentral.
CCUACGGGGGGCAGCAGUGAGGAAUAUUGGUCAAUGGCCGGAAGGCUGAACCAGCCAUGCCGCGUGAAGGUCAGUGCCAUAUGGGCGUUAAACUUCUUUUGUGCGGGAGCAAUAAUGGUCACGUGUGGCCAGACGAGAGUACCGUACGAAUAAGCAUCGGCUAACUCCGUGCCAGCAGCCGCGGUAAUACGGGGGAUGCAAGCGUUAUCCGGAUUUAUUGGGUUUAAAGGGUGCGUAGGCUGUGAGGUAAGUCAGCGGUGAAAUGCCCCCGCUCAACGGGGUGAAGUGCCAUUGAUACUGCCUUGCUUGAAUGUGGAUGCGGUGGGAGGAAUGUGUGGUGUAGCGGUGAAAUGCAUAGAUAUCACACAGAACACCGAUUGCGAAGGCAUCUCACGAAUCCGCGAUUGACGCUGAUGCACGAAAGCGUGGGUAUCAAACAGGAUUAGAUACCCCUGUAGUC